AUUGAACGCUGGCGGCAUGCCUUACACAUGCAAGUCGAACGGUAACUGGUCUUCGGAUGCUGACGAGUGGCGAACGGGUGAGUAAUACAUCGGAACGUGCCUAGUAGUGGGGGAUAACUACUCGAAAGAGUGGCUAAUACCGCAUGAGAUCUACGGAUGAAAGCAGGGGAUCGCAAGACCUUGCGCUACUAGAGCGGCCGAUGGCAGAUUAGGUAGUUGGUGGGAUAAAAGCUUACCAAGCCGACGAUCUGUAGCUGGUCUGAGAGGACGAUCAGCCACACUGGGACUGAGAAACGGCCCAGACUCCUACGGGAGGCAGCAGUGGGGAAUUUUGGACAAUGGGCGCAAGCCUGAUCCAGCAAUGCCGCGUGCAGGAUGAAGGCCUUCGGGUUGUAAACUGCUUUUGUACGGAACGAAAAGCCCCGGGUUAAUACCCUGGGGUCAUGACGGUACCGUAAGAAUAAGCACCGGCUAACUACGUGCCAGCAGCCGCAGUAA
RNAcentral lists this ribosomal RNA (498 nucleotides) under uncultured bacterium. RNAcentral describes it as "partial 16S ribosomal RNA". It matches the Rfam family "Bacterial small subunit ribosomal RNA", at positions 30 to 523 of the family's 1533-position model. The record is from RNAcentral.